This 260-nucleotide small RNA is filed under the name Triticum aestivum (bread wheat). The stretch from base 101 to 260 matches the Rfam family "U1 spliceosomal RNA". From Rfam's summary of the family: U1 is a small nuclear RNA (snRNA) component of the spliceosome (involved in pre-mRNA splicing). Its 5' end forms complementary base pairs with the 5' splice junction, thus defining the 5' donor site of an intron. Lineage: Eukaryota; Viridiplantae; Streptophyta; Magnoliopsida; Poales; Poaceae. The record is from RNAcentral.
GCAGCGCACGCGGCUUCGUUUUUUAGUCCCACCUCGCCUAGCGGAGGGCGUCGAGCGGGAGAGCUCAUUAUAAAAGGGGAGCCAGGUGCACCCUUGUUCCAUACUUACCUGGACGGGGUCGACGGGUGAUCAAGAAGGCCCGUGGCCUAGGUUAGUAGCCCACAUUGCACUUGGUGGGUGCGCUGGCCUAUCAUCUCCCCAAGUGCGAGAGUGAACGUCAUAAUUUGUGGUAGAGGGGGUACGCGUUCGCGCGGCCCUUG